GCGUCGGUAGUGCAGCGGUUCAGCACGCACUUUCGGAAAGAGUGAGAUCUGGGUUCGAAUCCCGGCUGACGCA
Molecule: non-coding RNA, 73 nt
Organism: Parelaphostrongylus tenuis
Lineage: Eukaryota; Metazoa; Nematoda; Chromadorea; Rhabditida; Metastrongylidae
Source: the annotation of a GenBank genome assembly